UGAAAUUAUAACCAGUCUUCAGCUGCCCCUUCUCUCUGACAUUAUGCCUGCAAAUUGUGACUCGAGGUAGGAAUUGGCUUCAAAGAGGGGAGAAAAAGAAAAUCAUUGCGGCAAGGAAAGCAUCUGGGUAGUGUUCAAUGCAGCUCCAAUACUUGAUGCUCAUUCAAAAGAAGUAUCAUACUGAACUAGUCCCCAAAAUGGAAAAGAUCAAUUGAAUUAUGUUGCCUAA
Molecule: long non-coding RNA, 229 nt
Filed under: Eucalyptus grandis
Lineage: Eukaryota; Viridiplantae; Streptophyta; Magnoliopsida; Myrtales; Myrtaceae
Description: long non-coding RNA (EGRA_LNC007616)
Source: RNAcentral